This 492-nucleotide ribosomal RNA is filed under the name uncultured bacterium. Its description in RNAcentral is "partial 16S ribosomal RNA". It matches the Rfam family "Bacterial small subunit ribosomal RNA", at positions 29 to 507 of the family's 1533-position model. The record is from RNAcentral.
AGUGAACGCUGGCGGUAGGCCUAACACAUGCAAGUCGGACGGCAGCACAGUAAGAGCUUGCUCUUACGGGUGGCGAGUGGCGGACGGGUGAGGAAUACAUCGGAAUCUACUUUUUCGUGGGGGAUAACGUAGGGAAACUUACGCUAAUACCGCAUACGACCUACGGGUGAAAGCAGGGGAUCUUCGGACCUUGCGCGAUUGAAUGAGCCGAUGUCGGAUUAGCUAGUUGGCGGGGUAAAGGCCCACCAAGGCGACGAUCCGUAGCUGGUCUGAGAGGAUGAUCAGCCACACUGGAACUGAGACACGGUCCAGACUCCUACGGGAGGCAGCAGUGGCGAAUAUUGGACAAUGGGCGCAAGCCUGAUCCAGCCAUACCGCGUGGGUGAAGAAGGCCUUCGGGUUGUAAAGCCCUUUUGUUGGGAAAGAAAAGCAGCAGGUUAAUACCCCGCUGUUCUGACGGUACCCAAAGAAUAAGCACCGGCUAACUUCGUG